This 846-nucleotide ribosomal RNA is filed under the name Schistocerca lineata (birdwing grasshopper). RNAcentral describes it as "partial 16S ribosomal RNA". Lineage: Eukaryota; Metazoa; Arthropoda; Insecta; Orthoptera; Acrididae. The record is from RNAcentral.
UUAUUUAUUUUAUUAUAUUUAUUUUUUGUUUAUUUAAUUAUUUAAUAAAAAUAAUUUUAUUGAAUUUUGUCUUAGUAUAUUUUGUAGAAUUGAUUUUUUAAAUUAUAGUUUAUUGGUAAUGUAAUUGUUUUAUGAAAUAUUAUUUUAAAUUUUUAAAAGUAUAUUUUAUUUAUUGUACCUUUUGUAUCAGGGUUUAUCAAAAUUUUAGUAUUUAAUUUACUUGUCUCGAUUUGGGUUGAUUUAUAAAUAAUUUAUAGUUAAUGUAUCAUAAUUAUUAUUAAAUUAUUUAUGGAAAUGAGAUGUUAAUCGUUUCCCAAGAUAUCUAGUUUCUUAAGAAAAAUUUUAAUUUUUUAAAGUUAAUUGUUUUUAUUUAAUUUUUUAAUUAUAAAUAUUAACUUAUUUAUUCUUUAAGGGAUAAGCUUUGAAGUUAAUAACCUAUAAUUUGUUUUGUAAAAUAUAAUAGUAAGCUUUAAACCAGCUAUCUUUAUGAUUACGUUUUAGUUCAUUAUUUUCUAUUUUGAUUUUAUAAUUAUUUUAGGUUUUUUAUUAGGAUUAUUUAUUUAAUUUUAAAAUUUUUGUAAUAAUGAUAGAAUUAGUAUAUUUACUUGUAUAUAAUUUUUACCUUGUGAAUUUAUAAUAAGGAACUAGGCAAAAUUGAUUUCCGCCUGUUUAUCAAAAACAUGUCCUCUUGAAAAUACUUUGAGGUCUGGCCUGCUCACUGAGCGGAUUUUUAAAGAGCCGCGGUAUUUUGACCGUGCAAAGGUAGCAUAAUCAUUAGUCUCUUAAUUAGUGGCUGGAAUGAAUGGCUUGACGAGAAAUCAACUGUCUCUUAAUAAAUUUUUGAAU